RNAcentral lists this long non-coding RNA (405 nucleotides) under Gallus gallus (chicken). Lineage: Eukaryota; Metazoa; Chordata; Aves; Galliformes; Phasianidae. The record is from RNAcentral.
UGGAAAUUGAUCUGCAAUAUCGGAAGUGCUGCUGCUUCGAGUGAGCUGCUGCUCUUGGUCUACAAAUAGGCCUGUAGCUUCUGAUCCUGCCAAAGUUUCCGACUGCUGAGAUUCUUCAACUUCUGUUGCUCUCUGACGAACAAUAUUUCUUGCUUUCUCAACUCCAGGAGCUCCAGAGGUGGUGGCACUUCUGAAUCUCAUGGGCUCCACAACUUCAGGAUGACUUUUCCAGCUUAAUGAAAAAGAUCUUCCCACUACAGCUGUCUUUUGGGGCUCUAAAACACCACCCUUUCCUCUCUGCUUUUUUUCUUUCUGUUCACUGAGUUUAUCCAAGGGUAAGUUAGUCAUUUCCACCCCAUACACAGUUCUUGCUAGCACUGCCGUCAGAGAGUCCAUGAUGUUGGC